ACCUCCACCGCUUGAUGCUCUGUUCCUACCGCCGGAAAAAGGCCGCGGCCGCCCUUCGCGUAUUCAUCUACUCUUCAGAAUCUGCAAUAUCACAGACGAAGGGCUAAAUCAAACAGAGAAAUUUUGCUUAGCUAAAUGUUGAAACCUAGGAAAGUUAGUGGUAGGGGAGAAACAACGGGUGGAGCUGCACACUAUGCAUUUGGAGCCCUAGAAGAUGAUAUGAUUAUCAAACAUAGGCUUCUCACACGAACAACAACCACAAGGGGUGAACCUCCUUUAAAAAAGCUUCAAAAGAAGUUCACUGCUUUUGCUCUGGAAACUGAGAAGGACGCAGAGAACUUUGCUGAUUGUGAGAGGCUUGCCAAGGCUUUCUUGCAGGAGCUGAAGACUUUUGAGCUCCCCUUGGUGAAGACGAAGGCAGUUAUUGAUGCAAAUGUGAGAGAGAAGGAGAAUUUCAAUGAGUUGAAUGAUGAGAUUAAUAGGAAGAUAGUGGAGGCACAAGAUGAUAUUGAGGAUUUGAAGAGGCAACUUGAGGAGAGCAAGGUGGAGAGGAAGCAUAAGGAGGAGUGUGAGACGAUUAGGAAGUUGAUUGCUGCACAGCAGCCCAGAUAUGAGACUCAGAAGCUGAUUAAUGAACUGGAGAAGGAGAUUGCAGCAUUGGAAGCAGAGAAUACUGCAAGUUCAAGGACACUGGAACUUCGUAAAAAGCAAUUUGCUCUUUUGUUGCAUGUGUUUACAUUAAAUGAAUAAUCAUAAGACCGUAACUACAUAUGACCAACACCUACCUUCAAAGUUCAACCGGAAGCUUUGUUCCAAAGAGAGAGAUUUGGGGAUAGAAAGUUGAAGUCUUAAGGAUGCUAUUGAGUUCAAUUUGAAGAUGAAUGUGAUAGUCUGUUGAUCAGCCUUCUCUUUCCCUUGACAGUAAUGUGGAUGAGUUACAGAACACCAUCGAGGAAGAGCAAAAGAGUAUGGUGGAGGAAAUGCGAAUGGCGAUGUACGAGAACAAGAACAUUGUG
Molecule: RNA transcript, 1016 nt
Organism: Cynara cardunculus var. scolymus (artichoke)
Lineage: Eukaryota; Viridiplantae; Streptophyta; Magnoliopsida; Asterales; Asteraceae
Gene name: THO complex subunit 7A-like
Exons: 5
Source: RefSeq, a predicted model, not a curated record